RNAcentral lists this ribosomal RNA (253 nucleotides) under uncultured bacterium. RNAcentral describes it as "partial 16S ribosomal RNA". It matches the Rfam family "Bacterial small subunit ribosomal RNA", at positions 524 to 776 of the family's 1533-position model. The record is from RNAcentral.
UACGUAGGGUGCAAGCGUUGUCCGGAAUUAUUGGGCGUAAAGAGCUCGUAGGCGGUUUGUCGCGUCGGCUGUGAAAACCUGGGGCUCAACCCCGGGCCUGCAGCCGAUACGGGCAAACUAGAGUUCGGCAGGGGAGACUGGAAUUCCUGGUGUAGCGGUGAAAUGCGCAGAUAUCAGGAGGAACACCGGUGGCGAAGGCGGGUCUCUGGGCCGUAACUGACGCUGAGGAGCGAAAGCGUGGGGAGCGAACAGG